RNAcentral lists this ribosomal RNA (795 nucleotides) under Escherichia coli. RNAcentral's name for it is "partial 23S ribosomal RNA". It matches the Rfam family "Bacterial large subunit ribosomal RNA", at positions 397 to 1191 of the family's 2925-position model. The record is from RNAcentral. Lineage: Bacteria; Pseudomonadati; Pseudomonadota; Gammaproteobacteria; Enterobacterales; Enterobacteriaceae.
CUGUGAGCUCGAUGAGUAGGGCGGGACACGUGGUAUCCUGUCUGAAUAUGGGGGGACCAUCCUCCAAGGCUAAAUACUCCUGACUGACCGAUAGUGAACCAGUACCGUGAGGGAAAGGCGAAAAGAACCCCGGCGAGGGGAGUGAAAAAGAACCUGAAACCGUGUACGUACAAGCAGUGGGAGCACAGAGCAAUCUGUGUGACUGCGUACCUUUUGUAUAAUGGGUCAGCGACUUAUAUUCUGUAGCAAGGUUAACCGAAUAGGGGAGCCGAAGGGAAACCGAGUCUUAACUGGGCGUUAAGUUGCAGGGUAUAGACCCGAAACCCGGUGAUCUAGCCAUGGGCAGGUUGAAGGUUGGGUAACACUAACUGGAGGACCGAACCGACUAAUGUUGAAAAAUUAGCGGAUGACUUGUGGCUGGGGGUGAAAGGCCAAUCAAACCGGGAGAUAGCUGGUUCUCCCCGAAAGCUAUUUAGGUAGCGCCUCGUGAAUUCAUCUCCGGGGGUAGAGCACUGUUUCGGCAAGGGGGUCAUCCCGACUUACCAACCCGAUGCAAACUGCGAAUACCGGAGAAUGUUAUCACGGGAGACACACGGCGGGUGCUAACGUCCGUCGUGAAGAGGGAAACAACCCAGACCGCCAGCUAAGGUCCCAAAGUCAUGGUUAAGUGGGAAACGAUGUGGGAAGGCCCAGACAGCCAGGAUGUUGGCUUAGAAGCAGCCAUCAUUUAAAGAAAGCGUAAUAGCUCACUGGUCGAGUCGGCCUGCGCGGAAGAUGUAACGGGGCUAAACCAUG